Molecule: ribosomal RNA, 468 nt
Filed under: uncultured bacterium
Lineage: Bacteria
Description: partial 16S ribosomal RNA
Rfam family: Bacterial small subunit ribosomal RNA
Source: RNAcentral
GACGAACGCUGGCGGCGUGCUUAACACAUGCAAGUCGAACGGAAAGGCCCUGCUUUUGUGGGGUGCUCGAGUGGCGAACGGGUGAGUAACACGUGAGUAACCUGCCCUUGACUUUGGUAUAACUUCAGGAAACUGGGGCUAAUACCGGAUAGGAGCUCCUGCUGCAUGGUGGGGGUUGGAAAGUUUCGGCGGUUGGGGAUGGACGCGCGGCUUAUCAGCUUGUUGGUGGGGUAGUGGCUUACCAAGGCUUUGACGGGUAGCCGGCCUGAGAGGGUGACCGGCCACAUUGGGACUGAGAUACGGCCCAGACUCCUACGGGAGGCAGCAGUGGGGAAUAUUGCACAAUGGGCGGAAGCCUGAUGCAGCAACGCCGCGUGCGGGAUGACGGCCUUCGGGUUGUAAACCGCUUUCGCCUGUGACGAAGCGUGAGUGACGGUAAUGGGUAAAGAAGCACCGGCUAACUACGUG